Molecule: long non-coding RNA, 9916 nt
Filed under: Equus asinus (donkey)
Lineage: Eukaryota; Metazoa; Chordata; Mammalia; Perissodactyla; Equidae
Description: lncRNA (ENSEASG00005030961.1)
Source: RNAcentral
UGGAAAGCUAAGCCCUUGUGAGAACUCGGAUAACCCGAAGUCCUGAUAAAGAGAUGGAAGCAGCACAAGAGGAAGCAAGAGAACUCGGUUCCAACCGUGGCGUAGAGAUGGGAUCGCAAGCACGGGCUGGCCUUGGGCAGCUGGGCUGGAGAUGGGGAGAAACUACACCGCUGACCGGGGGCUGGGAGAGGCCAAGUCCCUCCGUUACCAGGCAUCGUAUUUCAUCCCACUGGGGAAUGUGAAAAGAUAAUCCCCCAACGCAUGGGUGAGUGCCGACCUCAUCCCUUGAGAAGGAUUGCGGGCAUCAGGACCCACUGGCGCUUCAUGGAGGAAUGCCAGGCAGCCUCACGGGGAGGAAAGAACCCAGGAUGGGGAGUGUAUGGCUUUGGACAAGUCUUUUAACUUCUCUAUGCUUUCAUCUGUAAAAUGGGUACAAUGAUCCUAGUAAGUUCCUGUAUAUUGAGCAUCACCUAUGUACCAGGCAGUAGGCUGACUACAGUUUAUCCAACCCUCAAAGUCCUAAGAGCUAAUGAGAAAGUUAAACCACUUGCCCUGGAUCCAACUGCCAGCCAAUAGUCAAGCGGGGAUUUGGCCCCAAGUCUCUCUAACUCCAAAACAUAUGCUUGCUAACCACUAAGGUACACGACCUCCUAACCCCCUCACAGGGGUCAAGUUGGGUAAUGCAAGUUAAACUCCUGUGUCAACCAUAAAGCGGGAAUCAGAUACCAGGGCUGGCUGUUAUUAUUCUUAUUACUGUUAAUAGCUAAGGGAAUUAUAGAGGCUAAGGUCGUAGCUUCUAACAAACGACAGUUCAAAGCAGACCAGUGCUGGAUAAACGUUUGUAAUAGACACACGAGAGGGGAAAAGUAAACAAAAAUAUUGACAGAUGAGUGAAAGCUAAAGAGAAAUAAAAGGGACUAAUGUUAAACAAAAAGAGACAGCUGGCACCUCCAUUCGUUUAGGUCCUGUUUACCCAUCUGCUGAGAUCUCAGCCCCUCUUGCUGGUCCCUAAGAGAUCAAAGACUCACAAGUGAGUGUUGGCGAAUUGUAUACACAUAUGUAAGCCUCCAAUAGGGACAAAACCUCGAUCAAUGUUUUCUCUGAACACCAUUUCUCACCAAGGUACAGGACCUGGGUUAAACUCAGAAGCUAUUAUCCUUCGACAGGACCCAGGUCAAUGAAUCUACUUAGCUCUCUUUAAGGCUUUAGGUCAAGGCUGGCCUCCGUGUUGGAAUUCAAGCAUUGUCCUAGUGGCCAAGUGCACUUAGAGAGGCAGCCAAGAGUGAAGACGGAGCUGAGACAAAGACCAGAAAUGGAGCCGGAGUAAUGGGUUUACCACAUUGAGCUUUCUGUUCUGGGAAAAUUUAUCCUCUGGGUUGGUGAUAGGGAUCCUCUUAAAAGGCAGCAGGAUUUUGGCCCCAGAACCUCUGCAGAGCCCAGACUCUUCCUAAAAGAGGAAACACAGACGGCCUUCUUCCAGAAAUUCUGCCCCCGACUCAAGUGCUGGAAAUGUACUGCCCAGCCCAUUCGGUGGAGCGGAGAAUUUCAGUAAAAUGGAAUUCUGAAAUAGUCGAAUCUUGGAAUGCUGGCCUCUUAGAAUCUUUGAAUUCCGUCAAUUCCUCCAGGGCAUGGAUCAUUUCUUACUCAUAUUUGCUCCCUCAGUGCCCAGCACAGUCUGCACAGUGGAGAUAAUGACAUUCUUUUGUAGCCCUAAUGUAUUCAGGGGCCUCCCCGGCCCAGUCUUUGCAGAGUCAUGUUCAAACAAGCAAAGUCCAGCCUCUGAGAGAAAAUCUUUAAAGAACUCUUCUUUUUAUUUGCGUUUCUCAGGAAAAGUGAAAAAGGAGCCAGUUAAUAAACCCCCAAGUACUCCUGCCUCUUCAUCCCAGUUUUCUCACACCCAGCAGCCUCCCUGGACAACAUCUCGUCAGCUCCCUCCACCCCUAACCGCAAGGAUAUUUUCCUCUCUCCUUCCUGCAUCCUCAUGCCCAGCCCUUUAUACCAUAUUUCAACUCAGCCUCUCCAGCUAAGCCCUUCUGCCUCUCUUCUCUGGCCAUCUCCCUCUCUAUCUUUUCCCAAGAUUAUAUGUGACAAAAGCUCUGAGAACUGGGAUGGCAAUCACGGAGCCCAUCUCAGAUGGGAAAGAGGAAGGAAAUGUAAGGGAGGCAAAUCAGGGUAGUCAAAGGCAACAUUUUUCAGGAAAGGCGAGGCAGGAAACACUCGUCUCCACCAUAGUUUGAUGAAAGACCAUCCUGGGUGGGUUGAUAAACAGGAGGAUAAAUAGAAAUUCAGAGUCUGCAAGGACCCGGAGCCCACCUCUUUCUCUCCCAACCCCCCAGCAGCAUCAGAAGUGUUCUCUGCAUUAGCCAGAGUUUAUCCAGCUUCCAUGGGAACCACUCCAGGAUUCAGGAACACCCAGGGAGUGCUAGAACCUAGCGGAGGCACAUUCCCUCCUGAGCCCUAAAUUAUGAAGGCUCAUGAGGCUCAGUCUGCAGCAGGAGACCGCUAGCAAAGCUAAACCCACAAUCUGCUCCAAAUGGACAGGACCGGCCACAGCUACCUCUCCCCUACAGAAAAUUCCUGAAGAAAUGGGUAGGGGAGACCAAAAAGCAAAUGAGAAAAGGGAAGAAAGAGCAGGAGAAGGUGGGUACAAUGCUGCCUCUGCCUGGGCCUGGGGCCUCGGCCAGUGGAGGCAUUGGCUCAAGUCACAGUUUAUCUGGGAGAUGGAGCAUCCAGGGCUCCAGGCCCAGCGUGACCUCCAGUCCAGCGACUGCAGACUUCAGUUCCUUCACCACCUUGCUCUCACCAUUAAAGGCAAAGGUAGUUUUGAAUGAUGAUUCUAUUUCCCUUCUUCCUCAAGACCUCGUCUGUGCUUACCAAAGUCUCCUGAAGGGGAGUGGCUUCAUUUAAGGUGUGCAGGGGUCCCCAUUAGACUUGCCACGGGAGGCCAUUUUUUAGUAAGUGCACAACCACCACCAUAUUGUCCUCUUGUCCCCGAAGGGAGGAAUCUGGCAUCACCUCCCAGCUCCGUACGCACCCUCUCGCUGCUCACGGGCAAAGGCUCACAGGUGCACGUCUAGAGGUCACAGAUAGAAAAAUCCACCUUCUCCGCGACCCUGGAGGCUGCCUGGGUCUGGCUGUAGGAGGCGGAGACUGGCAUAUGUUGGAGCGGGGGAGUGAACGGUACGUUGGAGCAUUUUCGGAACUCUGACUGUUCUCUUCCCUUAUUGUGCUGCCGGGCGGCCACCCACGAGUACCAGCUGCUGUCAUGGAGACGCUUCCGAAACAGCUGGACCGGCUGCUCAGAAUGGGAGCUGCUGAGAGAGAACGGGACUGCGCACGAGAUGUGGGUGGGGGUUGUUCCAAAGGAAACAGUGAGAACAAGUGAUAAGGACCGCUUUGGGAAGGGCGACGGUUAUGAAUUAAAAAAUAGAGCCUUUCUCUUUGGGUCGAAGGUCAGAGGAGUCUAAUAUGGUUUUUGAUAUGAGAAUGAGAACCGAGGAUUUACCAUCCUCUAGCAAAUAGGAUGAUUUAUGUACCUGCUGUGUGGUGAUCCCUGUGCUGUGUGCUGUGGACCAUGGACUACUCAAAGGUGAACUAGGCACAUCUGAGGGGCUGUUCAGUGCAAGCUCUCAUCAGACAGAGCCCAGUUAAAUGCCAGCUCCUCCAUUCACUGGCUGUGUGUCUUUUGGUAUGUUACCGAACCUCUCUGUGCCUCAAUUUCUUCAUCUUAGAAAUAAUGCCUUUCUCAUAGGUUGUGGGGAUUCAGUAAGAUAGUACAUUGUAAGGAGCAUAGCAUAGCACAUCAUCAGUGUUUAAAAAUUAGAUGUGACUAAUUUUAGUAAAUUAAUUUUUAAUAAGGUCCAAGGUAAACUCUGGUUAGUGCUCCCCUGGGAGAAAUUCAAAAGAAGGAGAGAGUGUCUGAGUGUGAGAUAAGCAGGGAGGUGUCCCGAACGAGGAGACACAGGCAAGAUCUCCAACACCUGUUCCACUAUAGGGUACUGAUGGGGAAGGUAAGCUCAUCAUGAAUUUUCACACUCUUUCCAAUCAAAAGGCUUGGAAGGAUGAGAGAAAUGUCUGCAGACAAAAAUUUCUCAAAGGAAGAGGUCAUUUUAAGAGGCAAAAAUAAUAGUUAAUCAUGAUCAAUUAUUAAUUCUCACGUGUCAUGGAAUCUAAGACACACCAAUAUUUCAUGUACCACCAAGAAAAAACAAAAGCCACGAACUGAACAAUGACACAGUGUUCCUCAACAGCAAUUGUAAGAUGCAUCUGAUCGCAGAUAUGUUAAAAGGUGAAAAAAAAGUGCAUUUGAGAAUCAGUGAAAUAUGAUAUUUGCCAUAAUCUAUAAUAACGAUGAUGCAUUUUUAAAGCAUUUCUUCUUUGCAUCCCCAAAAUUAAAUAGGUAUAAUAGAAUCCAUUUGACAGAUGAGGAAACUGAGGCACAGAGCAGUGAAGUAAUUUGCCUAAGGUCCUGUAAUGAGUGAGUACUGGAACUGGCUGACUCAGAGCUGCCUGACAAAAAGUCCAAGGGCUUACCCACCAUGCUAUUCGAGAAAGACCCAAACCCCAGAGCAGCUGCGUCAAAGGGACAGGGAGAAGUGCUGUGGACGAAGUCAGCCCCUAGAGAGCCCUGAAUGCAGGGUGACUGGCCAUCCACUCCAGGGUCAUCUACUGAGCCCUGCUGAAUGGCAGGCACUGCGCUGAGCCCUGGGGGGAGGGUGGCACCCAGUAACAGAUGACUGGGGCCCCGCCCCACAGCCAAGCAAGGAAUGGGCAGCCAACGGACCAUUAGGAGGGAUACAUGCCAGGCUGAGGGUGUGCAUGGGGCACAUACAGGAGGAAACUUUGACCCAGUGCUGAGGGAUCAGAGAAGGCUUCCCAGAGGAAGUGACUUUUCACGACAACUCAAAGAACGAGUCAGAAGAGGAGAAAGGUAUGGCACCAGUGGUGCUUAGCAAGCAUCACAUGUGCCUCUCUACAUUACCCAGCCUCCCUUGAAGUUAGGCUGGGGCCACAUGACCAACUCUGGUCAACAGAGGGUGAGACAAAGUGACCUGUGACAUGUCCAGGCUGGGUCAGUUUCCUUUGCACCAGUGACCCUGGAGGCCACUUCUCCAGAUGGAGAAGGACCACUCGACCCACACUGCACCUCACAGGAGAGAGACAUAAACUUGAAUGUAUGUGUCUGAAAUUCGGGGGUUAAUUUAUUAUCACCACAUAGCAUAACCGAUCCUGACUAAUCCAACAGGAAAGACUGUUCCAUGCAAGGAAAACAGAAGGCGCAAAGGCAAGGGAACUUGGAGGAACUGCAUACUUCCUCUGACGGGAGCGAGAGCACCAGGGGCUGGAGGCCUGAGAUGAAGCUGGGGAGGUGAGGGCGCCUCCCAGUCUCCCACAGGUCCUGUCGGAAGUUUGGGCUGCUGUGUCUCAGAGAAUGAAUUAGAAGCGGAGACAGAGCAGGUGACAGGUGCUGGAGACUCCAAGUUCUGAGAGUGGCCAUGAGCACAAAUAUGAAGAAACAGAUGUGAGCAAUACCAAGACACGGAAUCCAUGCGGGUGACAAGUGAGAUUGCUGGGUCCGAGUUGCCUCCGAGGUCUUGAGCUUGAGACACUGGGAUGAUGGUGAUGUGCUCAACACAAAUGGAAAAAUCUAAAGAGAAACUGAUUUAUGAGGGAUGCUGAUGAGUCUGACUUGGAACACACUGAGGCUGAGGUUCUAAAGGAGCCUUGUCCCAGGAAUCCAUACAGCGGGUGUUGGCGGGGCGGAAUCCAGGGCUAGCCUCUGCUUACUCCCCGCUGCCAUUCCUUCCUGCUCCUCUCGGUUCACAACAGGUUUAGCUAGAUGUACUCUCUAGGUUAAGGUUUUUUCAUUAUAUCCUGAGUUUUCAUAAACGCUUUAUAAAGACCAAUUAAUUGCACUAAUUUAUCUGUCGGCUUUUUCUGGAAAGAAGCUUCUAAGACAAUUAGAUGAUUGUCGUUAAGCCUGUGAACAGGUUCCUGAGAGCCGUCUGCCAGGAGAUGGUGUGUUUUCCUUGGUGGCUACCACCUCAGGCGGCCGUGGGAAAAUACAGAGAAACAGGUAUAGAGGUGAUGGGGAAGGGAAGGAGCCCUGGCAGGUCUCAAAGCUACCACCUGGUGACUCGCUCCGAAGACAGGACUGUGCUGAGACCCGGUGGCGGUUUGGGGCGCUGGAGCUGGCUCCUCCCGGCUCCAAGAUCUGAUUUUUAACUAUUCAGCUUUCUUGUGAGCUGAUUGAUAGCUCAAAGUUGGCCGCGGUGAGAGUAUUUACAGCAUGGAAGUCAGCAAAGUCAGGGCUUUUUGUGGAAGGAGAGGGGAGGCCAGCUACCAGUCCACCACUGGGUUAUACCAAAGGAAGUCUGGGGAAUGUGCAGGUUGGGAAGCCAUCUCAGAGCCUGGCUCCAUCCGGUUCUCAUCUGAACAUCCAAGACUCGUUCGUAAGAGCUGCCUCUCCCUCACCCUCCAAUGCAACCCACUCAAUGCUCUCAAUCCUGUCUCCCAAAUAUGCCUUCAUUGUCUGGGCCCUGCUCCCGUCACCUGGCACCCCCUCCCUCUCACUCACUACGCUGUAACUACAAUAAGAGCUUUUCCCCCUCUGGGACUUUGCAUACUCUAGUCUAUCCUUCUAGAAUGUUCUUCCCUCCAUUAAGAGUGGCUUGGGGCUUCUCAUCUUUCAUGUCUCAACUUAAAUGUCAUUUCUCUUGGGGACCUUCCCAGACUAUGCCAUCUAAAACAGCACUCCCUAUAUUAUUUUUUUCCUUUUUCACUUUGUCUCCUUCAAAGCACUUUAUUUUGUUGUAUAAUUCUUUUGUCAGCUUCCUACCAGACUGGGAACUCCAUGAGGGAAAGCUUGUUUUCUACUCUAUUACUCAUGCCUCUCAUGAAGCCUGGCAAAGGAUUGGUGAUCAAUAAGUAUUUACUGUAGAAACACUGGAUGAAGUGGCAAACUCCCCAGUUUUGUAGUUGUGAGUGGUAUCAGGACCCUGUUUUUCAAGGUCUGAGCUUCCUUAAGGUUGGAAGGUGUUGCUGUAAAAAAUGCGAACCAAUGGAACUCACGGGAUGGAUGAUUUCACUGAUGCCAUGAGGCCUCUCCAGGGGCCCAGUGGAAGUAAGGUAAUGACUUGCCUUCCUGAUAUUGGAGUGCAUUUCAAAGGACAGCUAUCCAAGUUACCAAGCCCACUUCUUCCACUGCAUCAUUUCACAGUCUCCUGUCAUCACCAUGACAACCCCAGGUAAAAUCAAGGAGAAGAGUUUGCCUGCCGAUGUAAUGUUUACUCCUCAGUCUGAGGUGUUUGUUUUCUGUUUGUUUCCUCCCCAAAGCCCGAGUGCACGGUUGUAUACCCUAGUUGUAAGUCCUUCUACUUCUUCGAUGUGAGCCACCACCACAGCAUGGCAACUGACAGACAGGUGGUGUGGUUCCGUGACUGGGAAAGGAACCCGGGUCACCAAAGCAGUGAGAGCACCGAACUUUAGCCACUAGACCAUCAGGGUUGGCUCCUGUUUGUUUUUGAUGAUCUCUUCUUUUCCCUGAGGCUUCCUGAGGACCUACCUCAGAAGUACAGGAUUUGGGUUUACCAGAUAUCUUGGCACCACUUGGAAACCACUGGGCUCCUCCCAUGUGUCCAAAAUCAGCAUUAGAUAGAUACCAAAAUUAUGCAGAUCAGUCACUUCGCUGAGGGAAAGGCAAAAUGAUCUAAGGUGGGAGAAUGCAGGAAUCUCUGGCUGAGUCUCCUCAAGGGCUAAAGCCACAUCUCACGGCAGAGGUGGAGACGGGGGGAUGAAGCAGUGUGGCAGGCAGACCCUAAGGUGACCUCCUGGUGUUCACAUCCUACAUAAUCCUCUCCCCUGAGGGUGGAUGGAAGCUGUGACUUGCUUCUAGGGAAAAGAACAUGGCAAAGCUAAAGGGAUUUUACUGAUUUAAGGUCCUAAAUAAACUUAUUUUGGUUUAAUAAAAAAAUAGAUUAUCCUCAGUGGGUCUAACUUAACUGGGUGAAUGGCCUUAAAACAGGGACAGCAUCCUCCCUGAGAUGAGGGAGCUUCUCCUUGAUGGCUUGAUGAAGUAUACAGCUCUGGUGAGGCCCAUGUAGUGAGGAACUGUGGGCAGUCUCUAGGGCCUGAGGGUGGCCUCCAGCCCACAGCCAGCAAACACCUGGGGUUCUCAGUCACACGACCACAAGGAAACAUGUGACAACUUCAGUCACAACAACAAGAAUUAUCUUGGAAGUAGAUUCCUCCCAAUCGAGCCUCCAGAUGGGAAUGCAACCUAAGUAGCACCUUGACUGCAGCCUUGUGAGACAGUGAGCAGAAGACCCAGUUGAGAUAUGCCUGGACUCCUAACAUACAGAAACUAUGAGAACUAUGUGCUGUUUUAAGCCACUAAGUGUGUGGUAAUUGUUAUGCAGCAAUAGACAACGAACACAGGCAGUGACAUGAGCUGAUCCUAGGAAAUAGUAACCAGAGAUUCAUCAACACCCACACUCUGUGAUACCCUACCUGUGGCAGUGGUGGGUCAUCUCUGCUCCCAGAUAAAGCAUUUCAGGUACUCCCUAGGGUAUAAACUUGGUCAUUCAUCAAUUUGCUGAGCACCUACCACAUGCCAGGCCCUGUGCCAGGACUGAGGAUUCAAAGAUGACUAUAAUAUUGUCCUUACAAGGGGCUUACAGACUACGAGGGCAGUUAAUGCAGGUCACUCGUUCAUUAGCACAUGUCUACAGAGGGCUGACAGUGUGGCAGGCACUGUGCUACGCACUGUGGCCAGAGAAGGAUAAAGACCUGCUUAGCUUCAGGUGUGAUCAGAUGAGGGAGAGCUGGAGCCAGCUCACACUGGCUCUCAAGAGCCAGUUGCUAAGUUUCCUGUAAUCUUGUGAUCCAGUUGUUAAACACAGCCAUUAUUAAAAGGUAAAUUAUUUAAACUUACAAAUAAAGUAAACUGUAUUAAAAACAAAGGUAAUAAAUAUUCAAAACUCAUCAGGUCCUAAUUAUUUUUCUACAUGUUACAACUAUCUAUGCUCUUGAAGUGAUAUGUAUAUAUUGUAGAUAUUUGGUGGAAAUUUUAUAUAGUGGUGUUCUACCUGCAUAUCUUCCCAACUCCACAUUUAGUGAUUUCACAAUGGUAGCUUGAAAUUGCCUAUGAUGUGUGUAUUUACACCACAGAAAUUGGCAAACAUUACAAAUCUGAGCUUGAUUUAUUGCUUUGUUUAUUGUCUAGACCCUAGACUUAAGAAAGUGGUGGAGACUUUGUUAAUAAUGCAAUAAACAUAAAAGUGUGUCGUGUCUAUAGUCAUUACAUUUGAAUUGAACAAAAAAUUGAGGAAAUAUUCUUCCAGUAUUCAGAUACUGUUAUCCAAUUCAGCAAAGAAGUCACUUGUGUCAUGACAAUCAAAUGAAGAUUUGACAUACAUCCUCACUGUUUUGCUUUCCUCUUACUUAUUAACAUCAAUGAAAAUAUCAACAACAUUCGUGAUGGAACCGCACUUGCUCAUUCAAUGACCUGAAAGACUUCUUUGCUGAAUUGGAAAGUAAUCAUAGUCUAAUUUUGUCAGAUCAUGAUUGAAUUGCAAUCAUAGGUUGGCUAAUACAAGAAGUUGUCAAAAAGGAGUGAAAGCAUUUUGUGAGAGUCAAUGACUAUAUGCAAUUUACAAUAAAGAGUAUGGUAUUUUUUCUUAUUAUUUAAAUAACAAAUGUGUGUUUGAUGCACAUUCUUUACAUCAGUAAAAUAUAAUAAACUUAUGUAUGUACAGAUGUGCAGACAUUUUUUCUGGAGAGCUUGUUGUGAACAUUAUCAGCACACCACUGGCGGAGACGGACAUAGACAACUGUGAGUGAGUUCAGAGCGAGCAUCAAAGUGUGUACGAAGUCCUGGGGAGCGAUUUCUCUCUCUAACUGAAACCGUGGGAGGGAG